AAGUCGUAACAAGGUUUCCGUAGGUGAACCUGCGGAAGGAUCAUUAUUGAAUAAACCUGGCAUUUGGUUCUGCAGCUGGCUCUUCUUGGGCAUGUGCUCGCCAUUGUCAUCUUUAUCUCUCCACCUUGUGCACCUCUUGUAGACCUGGACGGAUAAAACUUUCUACUUUCUUCUCAGAGGGCAACCUCUGGUCCUGAGGAUGUGCAUCUCCUUUGUUGGGGUGCUCUCCUUGUUUAAAAGAAAAAAAAAGUUGUCCAGGCCUAUGUCUACACACACACCCAUUGAAUGUAACAGAAUGUAUCUAUGGGCCUUUGUGCCUAUAAAAACUUAUACAACUUUCAGCAACGGAUCUCUUGGCUCUC
Molecule: unclassified non-coding RNA, 362 nt
Filed under: fungal sp.
Lineage: Eukaryota; Fungi
Description: partial internal transcribed spacer region
Rfam family: Eukaryotic small subunit ribosomal RNA (bases 1-46)
Source: RNAcentral